AUUGACAUUUUAUCGGAGGCCCCCGAAUUGCCUGUAAUGAAUAUUUACACAUACUUUCCUCACAGAUAGACACAUUUGGCAGCCUGAUGCACCUUUCUGUUAUAGGAUACACGGUGUUUUCGCGUCCUGACAAAAUUUCAACCCCAAGUAGGCUACUUCUCAAAAUCCCACCAUAUGGCCUGGAAACAGCAAACACCUGUAGAUGGUCAGAGCUGUCUUGGCGGCAUGAAGGGGACCUACGUAAUGUUAACGCUCCACGCUCAAAAGGACCAUACCAGACCACCCCUUGUGGACCGCUUUUCCCUCAAGGGUCUCAUCAUCUAAUCACACCUGAACUCAGUCGAUAUAUAGUAAAUCAUGGAAGAUAUUACUUUGCCUUAAAUUUAACUUUUGCCUGGAUAAACCAAAUAUGAAUAAUAAUGUUGAAAUAUUGUGACAUUCCUGUAUAAAUUGUCUAAUGUAUUGUUAUCCACAGUGUUCAUGUAUCACUCAUAACUAUUUACGCCAUUUGCUUCACUACUUCCACUAUUUGUUAUAUAAUCCUACAUGCUGGACUUUCCUUUGGAUAGCAAUGCAUAAGGGGCCUCUUCUAUCAUCUGUAUUACUUUCGUAUGACACUUCAUUGAUCCUGAGCAGGGAAAUUAUCUCCUCAUCUUGCCCGUCUUGCUCCCCCUCACAUACAUAUAGGUGAGAGCAAGCUUGGCAGUGAAGGGCAGUAAUCUGCAGAGCUGCCCAGGAUGCUGGGGGUUAAGGGUCUUUACUCAAGAGCUUAUGCUGUUAAAGCCUUGCUCAAACCGGGAUCUUUCCGCUCACAGAGGCUUAGCCCGUUGAGCCACAUGACUUAGCAGUUGUGUGUUGUCCUUUAAAGGGUUUUCUUACUUUUGGUUAUGGCAAUUAGCCGCUAGCUGCUAGCCUCUAGCUGAAAAAGUGCAAGUAAUGUUGUAUUUCAUUUAUUAUGUAUCUCAAGUGGCUCUGGAUCACUUCUAAUCAGUUAGGUAUACCUGUGACUGUUACAUGCAACAUUGACUUUCAUCAUCCCAGCUUCUCGUGAUAUGACUGACUUCAGGAAAAUGGCGCAAUCGCCCACUGUCACGUGAAUUUCACGGGAGACACUAAGGUGGACAGCAGUCAAACGAAGGGUUAAUGUGUACUAAUUAUCAAUGUAGAGAUUCCAAGAAUAACAGAUUGUGAACACAGACUUUGUAUAAAUACUCUGCUGUUUAUUCAGAUGUAUUUAAUUAAAUCACGGUAAAAGAA
Molecule: long non-coding RNA, 1257 nt
Organism: Brienomyrus brachyistius
Lineage: Eukaryota; Metazoa; Chordata; Actinopteri; Osteoglossiformes; Mormyridae
Exons: 2
Source: RefSeq, a predicted model, not a curated record